Molecule: ribosomal RNA, 253 nt
Filed under: uncultured bacterium
Lineage: Bacteria
Also listed under: 1 other name
Description: partial 16S ribosomal RNA
Rfam family: Bacterial small subunit ribosomal RNA
Source: RNAcentral
UACGAAGGGGGCUAGCGUUGUUCGGAAUUACUGGGCGUAAAGGGCGCGUAGGCGGCGUGUCAAGUCAGGCGUGAAAGCCCCGGGCUCAACCUGGGAACCGCGCUUGAGACUGGCAUGCUCGAGUUCGGGAGAGGAUGGUGGAAUUCCCAGUGUAGAGGUGAAAUUCGUAGAUAUUGGGAAGAACACCGAUGGCGAAGGCAGCCAUCUGGACCGACACUGACGCUGAGGCGCGAAAGCGUGGGGAGCAAACAGG